GAACGCGAAGAACCUUACCAGGUCUUGACAUCCCGAUGCUAUUUCUAGAGAUAGAAAGUUACUUCGGUACAUCGGUGACAGGUGGUGCAUGGUUGUCGUCAGCUCGUGUCGUGAGAUGUUGGGUUAAGUCCCGCAACGAGCGCAACCCCUAUUGUUAGUUGCCAUCAUUCAGUUGGGCACUCUAGCGAGACUGCCGGUAAUAAACCGGAGGAAGGUGGGGAUGACGUCAAAUCAUCAUGCCCCUUAUGACCUGGGCUACACACGUGCUACAAUGGUUGGUACAACGAGUUGCGAGUCGGUGACGGCAAGCUAAUCUCUUAAAGCCAAUCUCAGUUCGGAUUGUAGGCUGCAACUCGCCUACAUGAAGUCGGAAUCGCUAGUAAUCGCGGAUCAGCACGCCGCGGUGAAUACGUUCCCGGGUCUUGUACACACC
This 433-nucleotide ribosomal RNA is filed under the name uncultured bacterium. Its description in RNAcentral is "bacterial SSU rRNA". It matches the Rfam family "Bacterial small subunit ribosomal RNA", at positions 957 to 1391 of the family's 1533-position model. The record is from RNAcentral.